GGUGCAAACACAAGAUGUGCCCUCUUUUCAGACACACACUAACCAUGAUCACAGCUGUUAUCUGCUUUUCCAUGUGCAGGAUACUACUAUCUGAACACUGUGAGAAGCAAGGCUUGAGGAACCAUAUACAAUGCAGAAUAUGAGGACAUGAAAACUCCUCAAAUUCCAUCUCCCUGAAGACAUUGAAGGAAGUGCUGAUCAUACUGAAUCAAUUUGAAAAAACUAUGAAAAUGUCUAUAUUUCACUGUGAUGAAAAUACAUUUCAGUGAUGAUGUUCUCCGUUCUGAUUCUUGCAUUACUGGUGGGAGGCUGUGGAAAAGGAAGAACAUCUGACUCACACAAUUUGAAGCCGUGGCCAAACCAUUCUGCAAGAAGGAGGUAGAAUGUCCUGGGAAAAUUGAAAACUAUUUGUUGGAAACAAGAAAUGCCAACUGUGUUCAAUGGUUCUGUGUGAAUCUCUGAAUUUGGUGUACUGCUCUAAACAUGUAUUCACCUACACACACUUAAAAUUAAUGUGAGAGAAACCAACACAAGUAACAACUGGAUUAAUAAAAACAAUUAAAAUAAAUGCACACUUA
Molecule: long non-coding RNA, 578 nt
Organism: Parus major (Great Tit)
Lineage: Eukaryota; Metazoa; Chordata; Aves; Passeriformes; Paridae
Exons: 4
Source: RefSeq, a predicted model, not a curated record